UACGUAGGUGACAAGCGUUGUCCGGAUUUACUGGGCGUAAAGAGCGCGCAGGCGGUCGAUCAAGUCGAGUGUGAAAGCCCCCGGCUCAACUGGGGAGGGUCAUUCGAUACUGAUCGACUCGAAGGCAGGAGAGGGUAGUGGAAUUCCCGGUGUAGUGGUGAAAUGCGUAGAUAUCGGGAGGAACACCGGUGGCGAAGGCGGUUCUCUGGGCAUUACCUGACGCUGAGGAGCGAAAGUGUGGGGAGCGAACAGG
RNAcentral lists this ribosomal RNA (253 nucleotides) under uncultured bacterium. RNAcentral's name for it is "partial 16S ribosomal RNA". It matches the Rfam family "Bacterial small subunit ribosomal RNA", at positions 524 to 776 of the family's 1533-position model. The record is from RNAcentral.